AACGCGAAGAACCUUACCAGGGUUUGACAUGGAUCUGCAGAGCCGUGAAAGCGGUUGGCCUUCGAGGGUGAUCCACAGGUGCUGCAUGGCUGUCGUCAGCUCGUGUCGUGAGAUGUUGGGUUAAGUCCCGCAACGAGCGCAACCCUUGUGUCCAGUUGCGAUUUUCUGGACAGACUGCCGGGAGCAAACCGGAGGAAGGUGGGGAUGACGUCAAGUCAGCAUGGCCCUUACACCCUGGGCGAGAAGCACGCUACAAUGGCCGGGACAGAGGGUUGCCAAGCGGUAACGUGGAGCUAAUCCCCCAAACCCGGUCUCAGUUCGGAUCGAGGGCUGCAACUCGCCCUCGUGAAGCUGGAGUCGCUAGUAACCGCAGGUCAGCACUACUGCGGUGAAUAUGUUCCCGGGCCUUGUACACACCG
RNAcentral lists this ribosomal RNA (419 nucleotides) under uncultured bacterium. RNAcentral describes it as "bacterial SSU rRNA". It matches the Rfam family "Bacterial small subunit ribosomal RNA", at positions 958 to 1392 of the family's 1533-position model. The record is from RNAcentral.